Molecule: long non-coding RNA, 4028 nt
Filed under: Mus musculus (house mouse)
Lineage: Eukaryota; Metazoa; Chordata; Mammalia; Rodentia; Muridae
Description: long non-coding RNA chr1:7148109-7152137
Source: RNAcentral
AAAUACAUUUGUAUGUGUCAUGUGGGGUUGUGUCUGGGAAAUGUUUUAUAGAAUUGUUUACUUCUAUCCAGGUUUCUUUUUUCCAAAAUGUAUUGCAUAGGUGUUGAUCCUUGACCCGCAGCAAAAGUGAAGAUUUGGGCUAUAAUCACGUUGAAAUUCUGCCUUGACAGUUUUGUGGAACAAGGGCUCUUUUGGUUGAAUUUGAAAUAACUCCUAUGACUUGAAAUAGCCUGCUGUAUGUAGGGCUGUAGUGUAACUAUUUCUGUAGAGCGCAUGGUAGUUCCAAUAGACAAAGCCUUUAAAGGGGCCAGAAGCAUAGGCAUACCACACAGUUACCAUACAACAAGGUUUCAGUGUAGAACCUGACCCAGGCUCCAGGCGCGGCUUCUUAGCAGGGGCCUCUCACUUAUCCCUAGCUCUGGCUCCAAAUGCCAGGGGGAAAAACUGUAGGGGAUCUGGGCCACUACCCAAGGUUUCAUCUCAAGAGCACAAACAUAGAGGAGAGUUCCAGAAUGUAUUUGAGUAUCUUCCUUUUCUGCUUUUUUGCUCUCUUCCUUCUCCAGAUGCCCUUGCAUUUUUGUUGUCUUCUCUUUUGUGAGUUCGUAUCUAUCCUAGUGUGAAAAACGCUUGGACUGGUUGAAGACAACAAAACUGAGCCCCACCGCACUGCCUCAGCUCCUGCAGUAGUCUAGCAGAGGCUUUGUGCAACACAUUAUAGCUGGAUCGUUAAGCACUUCAGGCAGGAUUGAGGGAGUUGAGGCGCUCAGGUUAUUUUUGUCUAUAAUAUACAAAAUAGAUUUAAGUUGGCCAGGUAAAUUAUCGAUUUUUGAACAACUUUUCUCUUUAGAUUUAUUUUAUUUGUAUGAGUGUUUUGCCUACGUGUCUGUGAGUACAGCCACAUACAUGUCUGGUGGAUACAGAGUUCAGGAGAGGGCAUUUGAUCCCUUGCACUGGAGUUAUAGACAAUUUGAGAGGUGCCAUGUGGGCACUGGAAGUCUUUCCAGCCCCAGAAUAACUUUUCUUUAGGAGUAAUUAACACCUAAUUUAUACUCUCGGUUAUUUUCAAUUGCCUACUGCAUUUAUUCCAAAAUAGAAACACAUUUAACAGAAAUCAAAGUCAUUAGCUCAAGUUAUUUAACAAGAAGUUGAUAUUAAACUUUAGCAUCUGUUUUUGUCUUCAUCAUUUUUCUCCUGUCUAAUGACUAAUGUGGUUGCUGAGUUUUGAGAUGUGGGCAAGAUUAAUUUUUAUUUAGUUAUUGGGUUUUUUUUAAUUAUUGGAUUUUCUGUAAAACAUGUUUUAAUAUUGAAGCUUAACUGCCCAUAAGAAGUUUUUGAAUAUAUUUUAACUUAAAAAGUAUAAAAGUAAUAUUAACAAAGGCUUAAAAAUCUCUAAUAAGGUCUGUUACAUAUGAGUUGUGAGUACAUUUCAUCUGUUGAUAUGUGAAGGUUCAAUUUCUGAUCCUUAUUCAACAGGCUUAAGGAAGACUUGAGUCACUAAGGCAAAUAUGUCCAGGUUUGUUGCUGAGAUGUGGUUCGGGUAACAGUGAAGAAUGCUAUGAUUUCAGUGAUUUUCAUUUCGUGUAGCACAACAAAUAAGCUUGAAGGCUAUUUAGAUGUCUCAUUUGUUAUUUAUUUAAUGGUGUGUGUGUGUGUGUGUGUGCUCAUGUGAGUGUGGACAUAAAGGUGUGCACACAUGUGUGUAUAUGUGGAGACCAGGGAUUGAUGGCCAGGGAGGGAUCUCUUUUCUUGAUCACUCUUCAUCUGUCUGUAUGUUUUAGACAGGGUCUCUCACCCAAGUUGAAGCUCAUCAACUCAGCCAAGUGUGUGCUACCAUGCCAGGCUUUUUACAUGUUUCUGGGGGAUACAAACUCCAGUCCUCAUGAGCAUGACAGGCAAUCCGUGGUAUACCUCCUCAGCCCUUUUCUCUUUGUGUCUCAAAAAAACAAAUGUUUUCACAUAAUUGAAAAAUGAUCAAAAUUUUUCUGUUUGUUUUUUGAAUACUGUUUUACAGUUUUUAAAAAUAAUUCCUAAAAUGAUCCAUAGCAUUUGGCGAAAAAUAAUCUAUGACGUUGAAUGUUUUUGCUGUUCUACUUAAAAUCAUUAACCAGGUAUUUAUCAUAGUUGCUGAAGUUUUACAGCUUAUUUUUGAAUCAUUUUUAUGUUAAUCCAUUCUAAAGAAGAUGGAACAAUUUUAGUUUACUUCUUAGCAGGUGGUAUUGUAGUCAGGUUUCUAUUAUUGUGAUAAACACUGUGACCAAAAGCAUUCUGGGAAGGAAAGGAUAUAUUUCUUUUUAUAGCUUAAUGUCCAUCACUGAAGGUAGUCACAGCAGGACCUCAAAAGCAGGAACCUGGUUACAGGAACUGAAGGAAAGGCCACAAAGAUGGCUUCUUACUAACUUGUUCCCUAUGGCUUUCUCAGCCAGCCAGCCUGCUUGCUUGCUUGCUUGCUUGCUUCCUUCUUUCCUUCCUUCCUUCCUUCCUUCCUUCCUUCCUUCCUUCCUUCCUUUCUAGAUUUAUUUAUUAUUAUACAUAAGUACACUGUAGAUUUCUAAAGGCAAGCCAGGAGAGGGCAUCAGAUCUCAUUACGGGUGGUUGUGAGCCACCAUGUGGUUGCUGGGAUUUGAACUCAGGACCUCCGGAAGAGCAGUCAGUGCUCUUACCUGCUGAGCCAUCUCACUAGCCCUCAGCCUUCUUUCUUAUUGCAACCUAGGACCUCCAGCAAAUAGCACUGUCCACAGUAGUAGUCUGGGCCCUCCCACAUCAAUCAUAAGUCAAUAAAAUACCCUCCACAGACUUGACUAUAGGCCAGUAUGAUGGAGACAUUUUUUUUCUCAUGUUUCCUCUUUCCCAGAAGACCCUAGCUUGUGUCAAGUUAACCACCUAAGCAUAACAGGUACAAAAUACUACUUAUUGUUCAAUAUCUUAUAUUGAAUUUAAUCAUAUUCUUGUAUACAAAGAGUAGUACUAGGAAAUUGUUUCAUUUUACAUAAAAUAGCAACUGGUAUAAAGUUAUGUUAUCAAAGUUCAUUUGGCUACUUUUUUAUUCUUUAUUACAUAAUUUGGUUUUGGUAACCAGUUAGAGGAUAUAUUUUUUCUUUCUGUCAUACUUGUAUCUUGAUGAUUCUUUAAGUUUUUUUAAUCUUAAGAUAUUCUUACUUUCUUUCAAUUAAAAAAUUAGAACAUUUGCAAAAUGUAAGAAGUUUCUCUUGUAAACAGUUUCAUAUUUAAUACAGUUAUGGAUGUGUGUGUGUCAAAAUAGAGAUCAAGGAAAAAGGGUCAUUAAAUUUUGUGUUGAUAUCUCAUCAUGUCUAGAAUUCGGUAGUGUUGAUGAGUUGUAUGUGUUUUAAGGUGCACGUUGAAGGUUUGCUUACUUAUAUGUGCUAGGAUCAGGAUGAGUUCUCAUACAAGAGAGGGUGAGAGAUCUAUUAACUAACCAGUGUUAGAAUAUCUAAUAUAUAAUGUAGAAAUACGUGUGUGUGUGUGUGUGUGUGUGUGUGUGUGUGUGUGUGUGUGUGUUUGGUGUACAGGCUUGGGUCUUGUGUCUUAAAUUGUAUUUUUUCUUUGAGUAAAAGUGUCCUUAAUAUAUGUCCAUUGGUUUAUGCUAGUUCUGCAUGAACAGGUACGUGGCUCAGAGCAGCUCCUCAGUUUAUUGUAAUUGGCUCUGGGAAGCUGGAAUGAAGGAUUGCUUAUUAUUCACUGAAUUUCCUUUUGAACUGGUCUUGUUACAAAGGUUUUCAUAAAUACAAAUGACCAGAUAAAUUUUCAGGAUUCCUGGGCUCAAUGGUCUCUGAAGGUAGAGUCAGUGGUUUUACCUCUGCAGGAAAAGAUGGCUCCAUUCAUUUGGCAUGUUCUAGUAGCUUUACCCUGCUGUUGCCAGUUUACUGACCUCUAAUAAUGUCCAUAUAUGACACAAUGUUAUAUUUAUUUUAUUAAAUAUUUUUAUUGCAUCUACUUCCAGGAGUUGAUUCUUACCUUCCAUUAUGUUGGUCCUGGGGAUCAAACUCUGGUUGUCAGAUUUGGUAGCAAGC